This 253-nucleotide ribosomal RNA is filed under the name uncultured bacterium. RNAcentral describes it as "partial 16S ribosomal RNA". It matches the Rfam family "Bacterial small subunit ribosomal RNA", at positions 524 to 776 of the family's 1533-position model. The record is from RNAcentral.
UACGUAGGGUGCGAGCGUUGUCCGGAAUUAUUGGGCGUAAAGGGCUCGUAGGCGGUUUGUCGCGUCGGGAGUGAAAAUCCAGGGCUUAACUCUGGACUGGCUUCCGAUACGGGCAGACUAGAGGUAUGCAGGGGAGAACGGAAUUCCUGGUGUAGCGGUGAAAUGCGCAGAUAUCAGGAGGAACACCGGUGGCGAAGGCGGCUUUCUGGACAGAUACCGACGCUGAGGCACGAAAGCUAGGGGAGCAAACAGG